RNAcentral lists this ribosomal RNA (347 nucleotides) under uncultured bacterium. RNAcentral describes it as "bacterial SSU rRNA". It matches the Rfam family "Bacterial small subunit ribosomal RNA", at positions 28 to 372 of the family's 1533-position model. The record is from RNAcentral.
GAUGAACGCUAGCGGCAGGCCUAAUACAUGCAAGACGAACGGUAAGUUGAGUAGCAAUACUUAGCCAAGAGUGUCGUACGGGUGCGUAACACGUAUGCAACCUACCCUAUACAGGAGGAUAGCCUAGGGAAACCUGGAUUAACCCUUCAUAGUAUUAUUGGAUGGCAUCAUUUGAUAAUUAAAACUGAGGUGGUAUAGGAUGGGCAUGCGUCUGAUUAGUUAGUUGGCGGGGUAAUGGCCCACCAAGACGAUGAUCAAUAGGGGACCUGAGAGGGUGAUCCCCCACACUGGCACUGAGAUACGGGCCAGACUCCUACGGGAGGCAGCAGUAGGGAAUAUUGGACAAU